Molecule: non-coding RNA, 347 nt
Organism: Anolis carolinensis (green anole)
Lineage: Eukaryota; Metazoa; Chordata; Lepidosauria; Squamata; Anolidae
Source: Rfam
GGAGUGUAAAACAUUAAAACAUUACACCUGUCACCCCAUUGAUCGCCAGGGUUGACUUGGUUGAUAUGAUGAGCUAGGUGGGUGUCCCCUUCCUCCCUCAGCACUCCAUGUGUGUCCUUUCCAUGCUUGGUGGAAGAGGUUGACUGUCCCAGGUAGAAGGAAUAUACCAAGGUCUCCACUUGGAUCCCAGGUAUACGAUAGCUGCGCUACCCUGCUAGAACCUCCAUGGAUAUGUGUUUUGCUAGCCAUAAAGUUGAAAAGAUGUGUCUACCUCUCAAGAGAUUCACAGGAUAUUGGAACUGGUCAGUGGCAACAUAUGACAAGAUAAGAGAUAAUUGGCUUUCGAU